AUCUGCAAAUAGUGAUAUUUUGACUUCUUCCUUUCCAAUUAGUAUCCCUUUGACCUUUUGUUGUCUAAUUGCUCUGGCUAAGACUUCAAGUACUAUAUUGAAUAGAAUGGGAGAAAGGGCAGCCUUGUCUAGUCCCUGAUUCUAGUGGGACUGCUUCAAGUUUCUCUCCAUUUAAUUUGCUGUUGGCUACUGGUUUGCUGUAUAUUGCUCUUACUGUGUUUAAAUAUGGGCCUUGAAUUCCUCAUCUUUCCAAGACUUUUAACAUGAAGGAAUGUUACAUUUUGUCAAAUGCUUUCUCAGCAUCUAAUGAAAUGAUCAUGUGGUUUGGUUUUUUUUAUUAUUAUUAUUGUUGUUGUGGCAUUUGUUUAUGUAGUGGAUUACAUUGACGGAUUUCUGUAUAUUGACCAUGCCUGCAUCCCUGGGAUGAAGCCUACUUGAUCGUGGUGAAUGAUAGUUUUGAUGUGUUCUUGGACUCAGUUUGUGAGAAAUUUAUUAAAUGUUUUUGCAUCAAUAUUUAUAAGGGAAAUUGCUCUGAAGUUCUCUUUCUUUGUUGGGAUUGUGUAGAUUAGGUAUAAGCUGCAAUUGUGGCUUCAUAGAACAAAUUGGGUCGUCUUUCUUCUGUUUCUAUUUUGUGGGGUAGUUUGAAGAGUAUUGGUAUUAGGUCUUCUUUGAAGGUCUGAUAGAAUUCUGCACUAAACCCUUCUGGCCCUGCGCUUUGUUGUUGUUGUUGUUGUUGUUGGAAGGUAAUUUCUUUAAUUUCUUUUUCAAGUAAUGAUGUAAUAUUAACAUUCUCAGACACAGCACACCCCCUAAUGUUAUGAAGCACUUGGAUUUUUAAAGCAAUACUGAUAAUAGUUACCAAAUAUAUAAUCAAAUGGUACAUUAAAAGGAUAUGUGUCAUUUUAUUAUUUCAAACUUUUUGUUCUGAACAAUACAGUUUUACGUUUUAAGAAUACUAUGCUAAUUCACUUCUGGUAGUUGGAAAAUGCCUUCUGAUUCAAUUCGAUAGUUUUAGCACUAGAGGGCAGCCUUGCCUGCUUCUGGAUUGUGAAGAACUGAGUGAAUUUAAUUAAGCUAGCUUAAUCUUAAACAUUCAACCUCAGUAAAUGAAUGUCUUAGUCUCUUUAGAAUCAAGUUUUCCAUCCACUGUGGGUUUUUUCUUAUUAUUCUGAAAGUACAAAAUAAGACUGAUUUUGAGGGAGAGGGAGUUAGUUGUUGAUGUUAUUAUAUAUCUCCAUAUAAAAUCCAAGGAAAACACAAGUAUCAUUUACUGUAGUUAUGUUCAGAUAUGAUAAUGGAUUGAACAUAGAAACAUAUAAAUGGAACAGAAUAUGGAGCUAAUUAAAGAAAAUCUUGUACAUGAAAAUAUUUAUUCAGAAAACAGAUUUAGCUCCUAACUGUGCUGAUCUUGUAAUAGGAGUCAAGGCAAAACCAUAUCCAAGUGAGUACCUAUGUAAAUAAGCUGUUGUACAAGCAUUCCCAGCGCUCCAGAGUUUGCACCUGUGUACUAAAUAUCUGUUCUCUUCAGUUUUAGAGAUCCUGACCCGUUAGUCUUUGGUGCUGGCAAGUACCCAUCACAGUGCUUGGCAUUUAGGCUAAUCCACACUGUUUGAAUAUGUAGAUACAAAGCAUCACAGCUUAUACAAACCUGUUUUCACACGUCUAGGGAAGCUUUCCUAUCAUUGUGUCUGAAGAUAUGAAUAUAUACUUCUGUCUUUUCUUAUUUUCUCUAACAACCUUUACCUAUGGAUAAAGGUUAUUAGACAUUGACUAUUAGACUGUAAUGUUUAGUAGGAAACAAAAUAAAUAAAAACCAAAAGCAUUGUCAACGGUGGAAAGGAAAUUCUAGCCUUUUUACAGUCCUCGGAUUUCCAAUCUGACUUUUAUUGGAGAAGUUGAAGGUGAAAUAUAACAUCUGCAGUGAAUGAACCCUCUUCUUUCUCACAAUUUUCACUAGGAAGGUCUUCUCACAUUCAGGACUGGUUUUCUGCACCUUUGGGCAUUCUUUCUUCCUCAUGCUAGUUCUUGAAUUUCUUUGUACAUGAAGAUCUUUGUAACAUCCUUAUUUAUCAGGACAAGGCAAUACCGUGCAGACUAUCUAUUCUCCAGUCUGAAUCAAGCAUCAGUUGAACUUGCUGGAUAUGUGUUCAAUAAAUGCUAGCAGUUACAUAAAAUCAUUUGAAAGAGUUGGUCCACUUAUAGAUGCAUUUGGUAAUGUAAGAAAAACUUGGCCCCUAAUGUCAAUGAUGUUUACCAAUUAUUUCCUCUGUUAGUACAGUUGACAUGGUUCAGUGGUUCUUAAGAAGUGGUUAAAUAUAAGUAAGUGGGAUUCUUAGUCUAGAGCAGCAGUUCUCAACCUGUGAGUCGGAACCCCUUUGUGGUCAAACAAUUCUCUCACAGGGGAAAUCUAGAGGUUUGAAAAAUAGAUAUUUACAUUACUAUUCAUAACAGUAGCAAAAUUACAGUUGGGAUGUAGCAAUGAGAUUAUUUUAUGGUUGGGGUUCACCACAAUAUGAGGAGCUGCGUUAAAGAAUAGCAUUAGGAAGAUUGAGAACCACUGGUCUAGAUUGUGUUUGGAAUGAAUACACAAGCCUUAACUGCUAUAGUUAUCUUUAAAAAUCUGUCCAUUUACACUGCACAGGAAGAAUUUUAUGAAACAAAGUAUUUUAAUGUCUUACUACUUCUCUUAAAUCAAUUGUUUUUUAAAAUUAGAUAACACUGUUUCAAAAGAAAUUUUACCAGAAGUACAAUUUCUUAAAAUAACUAAGUGUUCUGGUUGGACCAGGGAGCUCUGUGUCUUCUUCACUCACCUGUACUAUUUCCUAACUUUCAAAGGACCACUACCUUUCUAGUUGCUGUGCUUUGAGCACCACUUUGUGCCCACUUGUACUUCACAGAGUGGAGAAACUCUAGAUUUCUAUUUAGAAAUUUCUAUUACGUCCUUACAUAAAGUCAGGAAGUAUCUGGCAUUGUUUUGAUCUGCAUAUGAUGACAAGUGCUUCAAGUCUCACUGGGAACUUUCUAGAACGAUAGAGUAUGUUAGCCUUGUUUUAGAUUCAUUAUCUAGAGUUAUGCC
This 3076-nucleotide long non-coding RNA is filed under the name Mus musculus (house mouse). Its description in RNAcentral is "long non-coding RNA chr9:7215417-7218493". The record is from RNAcentral. Lineage: Eukaryota; Metazoa; Chordata; Mammalia; Rodentia; Muridae.